This 65-nucleotide transfer RNA is filed under the name Balta curvirostris. RNAcentral describes it as "tRNA-Asn". The record is from RNAcentral. Lineage: Eukaryota; Metazoa; Arthropoda; Insecta; Blattodea; Pseudophyllodromiidae.
UUAACUGAAACCAAAAAGAGGUAUAUUAUUGUUAAUAAUAAAAUUGAAUUAAUUUUCCGGUUAAG